Molecule: ribosomal RNA, 496 nt
Filed under: uncultured bacterium
Lineage: Bacteria
Description: partial 16S ribosomal RNA
Rfam family: Bacterial small subunit ribosomal RNA
Source: RNAcentral
GAUGAACGCUGGCGGCGUGCCUAAUACAUGCAAGUCGAACGCUGAAGGAAGGAGCUUGCUCUUUCCGGAUGAGUUGCGAACGGGUGAGUAACGCGUAGGUAACCUGCCUGGUAGCGGGGGAUAACUAUUGGAAACGAUAGCUAAUACCGCAUAACAGUAGAUGUUGCAUGAUAUCUACUUAAAAGGUGCAAUUGCACCACUACCAGAUGGACCUGCGUUGUAUUAGCUAGUUGGUGAGGUAACGGCUCACCAAGGCGACGAUACAUAGCCGACCUGAGAGGGUGAUCGGCCACACUGGGACUGAGACACGGCCCAGACUCCUACGGGAGGCAGCAGUAGGGAAUCUUCGGCAAUGGACGGAAGUCUGACCGAGCAACGCCGCGUGAGUGAAGAAGGUUUUCGGAUCGUAAAGCUCUGUUGUAAGAGAAGAACGAGUGUGAGAGUGGAAAGUUCACACUGUGACGGUAUCUUACCAGAAAGGGACGGCUAACUACGU